This 99-nucleotide non-coding RNA is filed under the name Candidatus Woeseibacteriota. The record is from RNAcentral.
CUAUCUUUGAUUAGAGGUUGUGUUUAAGGAAUGGGGUGCAAAUCCCCAGCUGUGCCGCAACCGUAGAGCCGGAAAACUAGCAACCCUCUGGGCAGAAGG